RNAcentral lists this ribosomal RNA (1403 nucleotides) under uncultured bacterium. RNAcentral describes it as "16S ribosomal RNA". It matches the Rfam family "Bacterial small subunit ribosomal RNA". The record is from RNAcentral.
AGAGUUUGAUCCUGGCUCAGGAUGAACGCUAGCGGCAGGCUUAACACAUGCAAGUCGAGGGGCAGCGGGGAGGAAGCUUGCUUUCUCCGCCGGCGACCGGCGCACGGGUGAGUAACACGUAUGCAACCUGCCCCUGUCAGGGGGACAACCCGCCGAAAGGCGGGCUAAACCCGCGUACAUGCCACCGGGGCAUCCCGGAGGCAGGAAAGGCUUCGGCCGGACAGGGAUGGGCAUGCGGCGCAUUAGGCAGUAGGCGGGGUAACGGCCCACCUAACCGACGAUGCGUAGGGGUUCUGAGAGGAAGGUCCCCCACACUGGUACUGAGACACGGACCAGACUCCUACGGGAGGCAGCAGUGAGGAAUAUUGGUCAAUGGUCGGGAGACUGAACCAGCCAAGCCGCGUGAGGGGGGAAGGUACAGAGUAUCGUAAACCUCUUUUGUCAGGGAACAAAGGCGGGGACGUGUCCCCGGAUGAGUGUACCUGAAGGAAAAGCAUCGGCUAACUCCGUGCCAGCAGCCGCGGUAAUACGGAGGAUGCGAGCGUUAUCCGGAUUUAUUGGGUUUAAAGGGUGCGCAGGCGGUCUGUUAAGUCAGCGGUCAAAGCCCGGGGCUCAACCCCGGCCCGCCGUUGAAACUGGCAGUCUCGAGUUGGAGAGAAGUAUGCGGAAUGCGCGGUGUAGCGGUGAAAUGCAUAGAUAUCGCGCAGAACUCCGAUUGCGAAGGCAGCAUGCCGGCUCCACACUGACGCUGAGGCACGAAAGCGUGGGUAUCGAACAGGAUUAGAUACCCUGGUAGUCCACGCAGUAAACGAUGAAUGCUUGGCUGUCCGGGGGGAUUGACCCCUGGGUGGCCGAAGUGAAAGCGAUAAGCAUUCCACAUGGGGAGUACGCCGGCAACGGGAUGACUCAAAGGAAUUGACGGGGGCCCGCACAAGCGGAGGGACAUGUGGUUUAAUUCGAUGAUACGCGAGGAACCUUACCCGGGCUCAAACGGGGAGUGACUCAGGCAGAGACGCCUGUUUCCCACGGGACACUCCCCGAGGUGCUGCAUGGUUGUCGUCAGCUCGUGCCGUGAGGUGUCGGCUUAAGUGCCAUAACGAGCGCAACCCCCGCGUGCAGUUGCUAACAGAUAACGCUGAGGACUCUGCACGGACUGCCGGCGCAAGCCGCGAGGAAGGCGGGGAUGACGUCAAAUCAGCACGGCCCUUACGUCCGGGGCGACACACGUGUUACAAUGGGUGGUACAGCGGGAAGCCAGGCGGCGACGCCGAGCGGAACCCGAAAUCCACUCUCAGUUCGGAUCGGAGUCUGCAACCCGACUCCGUGAAGCUGAUUCGCUAGUAAUCGCGCAUCAGCCAUGGCGCGGUGAAUACGUUCCCGGGCCUUGCACUCAAAGCCCGUCA